GGUGGAUAUCGGUAAGUAAAUUUCUACAGCAAUUGUGAAUAUGGAUGAAGAGAGAUUCAUAAUUCAUUUUUGGGGCGCUUCAUAAGCUUGCUGUUCGGUGUGAGCCAAGGCUGUGUGUUGAAGACUGUUCUUUGACCUAUAAUGGUUUUUCUUAUACUUUGAUGGAGAGCGGUCUCAUCGACACUCACAACACAUCAUCUUAUAUAAAUUUGUUAUUGUAAGCAGGUCAUUGUUUAAACCCUUGUUUUUGUUUAUUUCAACAAGCAGUAAAAGUAUCCUGCUGCUAUUUAA
RNAcentral lists this long non-coding RNA (291 nucleotides) under Mytilus galloprovincialis (Mediterranean mussel). Lineage: Eukaryota; Metazoa; Mollusca; Bivalvia; Mytilida; Mytilidae. The record is from RNAcentral.